AAAUAGCCGCUUUUGUGCUAAGGUAGCAUAAUAAUUUGUCUUUUAAUUAAAGACUAGAACAAAAGGUUUAACAUCUCAAUUAAUAUUUCAUAAAAAACUAUUUAAAUUAUUUUAAUUGUAAAAAAACAAUUUUAAAAAAGAAAGACGAUAAGACCCUAUCGAACUUCACUUCAGUUUAACUGGGGCAGUUAAUUAAUUAUUAUUUUAAUAAAAUUAAACAUUUAAUUUGACCUAAUAUUAUUAAUAAAAUAAUUAAGUUACCGUAGGGAUAACAGCGUAAUAAAAUUUUUAAGACCUUAUUUAAAAUAAAGAUUACGACCUCGAUGUUGAUUUAAUAUCCUAAUUUACGCAAUAGUUAAUUAAGGAAGUCUGUUCGACUUUUAAAAAAUUACAUGAUCUG
Molecule: ribosomal RNA, 400 nt
Filed under: Pardosa sierra
Lineage: Eukaryota; Metazoa; Arthropoda; Arachnida; Araneae; Lycosidae
Description: partial 16S ribosomal RNA
Source: RNAcentral